This 252-nucleotide ribosomal RNA is filed under the name uncultured bacterium. RNAcentral describes it as "partial 16S ribosomal RNA". It matches the Rfam family "Bacterial small subunit ribosomal RNA", at positions 524 to 776 of the family's 1533-position model. The record is from RNAcentral.
UACAGAGGUCUCAAGCGUUGUUCGAUUCAUUGGGCGUAAAGGGUGCGUAGGUGGCGCUGUAAGUCGGGUGUGAAAUUUCGGAGCUUAACUCCGAAACUGCAUUCGAUACUGCGGUGCUUGAGGACUGGAGAGGAGACUGGAAUUCAUGGUGUAGCAGUGAAAUGCGUAGAGAUCAUGAGGAAGACCAGUGGCGAAGGCGGGUCUCUGGACAGUUCCUGACACUGAGGCACGAAGGCCAGGGGAGCAAACGGG